Long non-coding RNA from Pelobates fuscus (common spadefoot toad), 243 nucleotides. RefSeq lists it as uncharacterized. The transcript has 3 exons. The record is from RefSeq and is a predicted model, not a curated record. NCBI's taxonomy places the organism in Eukaryota, Metazoa, Chordata, Amphibia, Anura, Pelobatidae.
CUCCUCUCAGAUCCUAACUCCAUCCAGGUAGAAGCCAGGCUGUGCCACCCUCCUCUCAGAUCCUCACUCCAUCCAGGUAGAAGCCAGGCUGUGCCACCCUCCUCUCAGAUCCCAACUCCAUCCAGGUAGAAGCCAGACUGUGCCACCCUCCUCUCAGAUCCUAACUCCAUCCAGGUAGAAGCCAGCCAGGCUCCUUCCAGAAUCCCCCUUUCAAUUCCAGGCAGCUGUCAGACCUGCCAUCCU